This 222-nucleotide ribosomal RNA is filed under the name uncultured bacterium. RNAcentral's name for it is "partial 16S ribosomal RNA". It matches the Rfam family "Bacterial small subunit ribosomal RNA", at positions 328 to 539 of the family's 1533-position model. The record is from RNAcentral.
ACGCUCGACACCUACGGGGGGCAGCAGUAGGGAAUCUUCCACAAUGGGCGCAAGCCUGAUGGAGCAACACCGCGUGAGUGAAGAAGGGUUUCGGUUCGUAAAGCUCUGUUGUUGGAGAAGAACGUGCGUGAGAGUAACUGUUCACGCAGUGACGGUAUCCAACCAGAAAGUCACGGCUAACUACGUGCCAGCAGCCGCGGUAAUCUGAGCGGCUGGCAAGGC